Molecule: long non-coding RNA, 404 nt
Organism: Daphnia pulicaria
Lineage: Eukaryota; Metazoa; Arthropoda; Branchiopoda; Diplostraca; Daphniidae
Exons: 2
Source: RefSeq, a predicted model, not a curated record
GAGCUUCUCAGCUUCAUGGAUGCUGUAUCUAUAAAUGCAGCCAGCUGGUGAGAAAGAUGUGUUUGAGUCGAGUUGAGCUGCAUGCAGUUUAUCAAGCUGGUGUUAUCCCAAGUGUCACUGCAGGAAAACUUCUUGAAUUGGAGUUCAUGGUCAGUUUGAGCUGUUUGCAGUGUUGCUGUUUGGUGUACAGUGGUUUUGCAGUCCCUUUCCAGUUGAGAGAUGCUCUGAAAUGGAGCUUGUGCAGACUUGCAGUUCAACAUCACACUUAAAUGUGUCAUUUGUCUACGUUGGUGCCCAUGCAAUAUAUGCAGUGUUGAACAGUUUGGUAAAAUAGUCUAUGCUGCCUGAUGGCUGUCGGUCUUAUUUUAUCGGUUGCAUUUUUUCGAUGUGCCGUCUCUUGCUAC